Molecule: non-coding RNA, 441 nt
Organism: Urocitellus parryii (Arctic ground squirrel)
Lineage: Eukaryota; Metazoa; Chordata; Mammalia; Rodentia; Sciuridae
Source: RefSeq, a predicted model, not a curated record
AUGCCUGCUGGGGCUUGAAGUCCGCACCACCGAGACCCGGGAGCUCCUCUCCAAACUUAAGAAUUCGAUGCUGGAGACGUGGGACUCAGUAAAGAUACUGAAAACUACAUCUUGACCCUGGUGAGAGCCACAACUUCUCCCCCUGACCUCUGCUUGACCAGCUGUCAGCUCCACCCCAGGAGAAACCUGCCUUGGUUCCUGAUCUGAUCACCAUGGUCUGAUGCAGGGGAGCAAACCCAGGAUCUCGGGCAUGUGAGACAAGCACUGAUACCUGAACAUUCCUAAGAUAUGUCCUUAAGUUAAAAAAAGCAAGAUGCAGAACUGAUCAAGUGAGAAUAUUAUUGAUUCAAAAAUUUUUAAAUUUGAUUCCUCUCCUGCUACCACUUAAGUGACUUAUUACUUAAUUCAUAACCACCUCACUUCUUUAGCUACACACACAAG